GAUGAACGCUGGCGGCGUGCCUAAUACAUGCAAGUCGAGCGAAGCGGGGACGGGUGAGUAACACGUGGAUAACCUCCUAUAAGACUGGGAUAACUUCGGGAAACCGGAGCUAAACCGGAUACUUAUAGAUGGAUCCGCGCUGCAUUAGCUAGUUGGUAAGUUAACGGCUUACCAAGGCCACGAUCCCUAGCUGGUCUGAGAGGGUGACCGGCCACACUGGAACUGAGACACGGUCCAGACUCCUACGGGAGGCAGCAGUGGGGAAUAUUGCACAAUGGGCGAAAGCCUGAUGCAGCCAUGCCGCGUGAGUGAAGAAGGCCUUCGGAUUGUAAAGUACUUUCAGCGGGGAGGCGGUACCCGAAGAAAAAGCCCCGGCUAACUCCGUGCCAGCCGCCGCGGUAAUUC
This 405-nucleotide ribosomal RNA is filed under the name uncultured bacterium. RNAcentral's name for it is "partial 16S ribosomal RNA". It matches the Rfam family "Bacterial small subunit ribosomal RNA", at positions 28 to 526 of the family's 1533-position model. The record is from RNAcentral.